CCUGCCUUGGCCUCCCAAAAUGCUGGGAUUAUAGGCAUGAGCAACUGCACCUAGCCUAAUUGCCCAAUUUCCCAAUUUUUUAUUUUUGAGAUGGAGUCUUGCUCUGUUGCCCAGGCUGGAGUGCAGUGGCAUGAUUUCAGCUGGCUGCAACCUCUGCCUCCCGGGUUCAAGCAGUUCUUCUGCCUCUGCCUCCCAAGUAGCUGGGAUUACAGCGCACGCCAACAUGCCCGGCUGUUUUGUAUUUUUAGUAGAGAUGGGGUUUCUCCAUGUUGGCCAGGCUGGUUUCGAACUCCUGAUCUCAAGUGAUCCGCCCACCUCGGCCUCCCAAAGUGCUGAGAUUACAGGCCUGAGCCACUGUGCCUGGCCCCCAAUUGUUUUCUCUAAUCUACACUGCUCGCCUGAACUGCAGGUUCACAUAUCUAACUGCCCACUGACCAUCAUCACCUACACGUUCCACAGAUACAACCUGUCCAAAACAAAUGAUCUCUUCCUAAAAUGAGGACUGUUUUCCCAUCUGCUGUUCUCACAAAUGGCACCACCAGUGGAUCUGCUUGUCCUCUGAGAGUACUCUCUUUCCUUCCAUCCAUCCCCAGGUCUUUGGCUCUCUGGGGUGCAUGCUCUCCUGCUGGCUGCCACAGCCGCUACCUUGCUUCAGGCCCAUGACAUUUGCCAGGAACAUCAGAAUCACCCUGACCUCUGGAUUCAUCUUCCUUGUGUCUGUCCUCCAAACCGCUGCCAGAUUCAUCACAAGUCUGGCCCUAUAACCUUUCCCAUCUCCAUUGGAAACCAUUCAGUGCCUGCCCAGACCCCACAGGAUGAAGUCCAAUCUUCCUCCAUGGCCCUCUAGGAUAUAGUUUCCUUACUUCCAUCAUGUCACCUCCUAUUGCCUGGCUCAAACUCCAGCUGUCACCCUGCUGCUGGCCUGAUGUGCUGUGAAGUUUCACUAUCCUGCAUCUGCACUUCCCUCUGUCUCAAAUGCCCUCCUCCUCAUUUCCUUGGUAAAUCCCUGCAUUCAUCCCUCAAGAUGCAGUUCAAAGUUACCCUAUGACUUCAUUCAGCACAGAUGCUGUUUUUCCUCUGUGCCACCAUUACAGUCUGGAACUGCUCUGUGGCAGCAAUAUGUAAUACUAUCAUUCUGUAUAUAUCACUGUGGGCCACCACAUUUAUAUGAAAAUGAUGUUUACACAUCUGCAAUCCCGAGGUGACAGAGAGUGGUAACUAGGGCAGCAAUACUGUCUUAUUAAGCUUUCUGCCUCAGGGUCUAGUAGGGGGUCUGAACUUUAUUCUAUAGACAAUAAGAUUUGUGAGAAUAACAAACUCUCACUUAGAAGUCAACUCAUGGCCCAGCACGGUGGCUCAUGCCAGUAACAUUGGGAGGCUGAGGCAGGCAGAUUGCUUAAACUCAGGAGUUCAAUAUCAGCCUGGGCAACAAAAUAAGACCUCGGUGUCUACAAAAUAUACAAAAAUCAGCUGGGUUUGGUGGCAUAUGCCUAUACUCCCAGCUACAUGGGAGGCUGAGGUGGGAGGACUGCUUGAUCCCAGGAGUCUGAGGCUGCACUGAGCCAUGAUCGCACCACUGCACUCCAGCCUGGGCAACCGAGCCAGAUCCUGUCUCAAAAAAAAAAACAAAAAACAAAACAAAACAGAAAUAGAGGAAAGAGCCCCUAGUACAAAACUGAAAAUGCCUACACAGAAGUGUGUGACCCUGGUGACAGGGGUGCCACCACCACAAAUCCCCAAACUUCAAAAAAUGACAACCAUGGGCCAGGCACGGUGGCUCACACCUAUAAUCCCAGCACUUUGGGAGGUGGAGGCGGGCAGAUCACCUGAGGUCAGGAGCUCAAGACCAGCCUGGCUAACACGGAGAAACUCC
This 1873-nucleotide long non-coding RNA is filed under the name Homo sapiens (human). RNAcentral describes it as "HSALNT0196225". Lineage: Eukaryota; Metazoa; Chordata; Mammalia; Primates; Hominidae. The record is from RNAcentral.